GACGAACGCUGGCGGCGUGCUUAACACAUGCCAGUCGAACGGAAAGGCCCCUUUGGGGGUACUCGAGUGGCGAACGGGUGAGUAACACGUGAAUAACCUGCCCUUGACUUCGGGAUAACUUCAGGAAACUGGGGCUAAUACCGGAUAGGAAUCCUUGCUGCAUGGUGGGGGUUGGAAAGCUUCGGCGGUUUUGGAUGGACUCGCGGCUUAUCAGCUUGUUGGUGGGGUAGUGGCUUACCAAGGCUUUGACGGGUAGCCGGCCUGAGAGGGCGACCGGCCACAUUGGGACUGAGAUACGGCCCAGACUCCUACGGGAGGCAGCAGUGGGGAAUAUUGCACAAUGGGCGGAAGCCUGAUGCAGCAACGCCGCGUGCGGGAUGACGGCCUUCGGGUUGUAAACCGCUUUCAGCAGGGGCGAAGCUUGUGGUGACGGUACCUGCAGAAGAAGCACCGGCUAACUACGUG
Molecule: ribosomal RNA, 465 nt
Filed under: uncultured bacterium
Lineage: Bacteria
Description: partial 16S ribosomal RNA
Rfam family: Bacterial small subunit ribosomal RNA
Source: RNAcentral